RNAcentral lists this long non-coding RNA (2377 nucleotides) under Betta splendens (Siamese fighting fish). RNAcentral's name for it is "lncRNA (ENSBSLG00000024820.1)". Lineage: Eukaryota; Metazoa; Chordata; Actinopteri; Anabantiformes; Osphronemidae. The record is from RNAcentral.
CCAGCUGCCAGUCCUAAGUCUUAAUUGCUUAAUUGAUGAUCAUCAGCUGGACAGGUGGUGUUGGUGUGGAGCAUGUGGAGUUCAGGGCUCCACAGUGACAAAGGUUAUUCAUAGUCAAGCCCAACGUCUGACCCUCAGCGUCAAGGCUGGAGUGACUGUGCUUUAUUCAGCGUGGGAGUCCGAGCCAAGCGGAGCAUCAGCUGAUCGUCACAUGAACAUAGCAGGCAUCGUUGCCCGAGCCAGGCCUCGCAGGGGCGAGUGACGUGCGGUGACGUCACGGCCCCGUGCGGGAAAUCUGACGCUGCAGGUGGCGCACGUGGUCUGCUGUUUACUUCUUUCAGGAACACCAGGAACACUGGGAGCAGCUGGCGCGGAGGAGGGGCGCGCGCGGAUUGUGGGUAGAGUUUCAUUGCUCAGCAUUUGGACGAGGACAGAAAACAGCGCCGGCUAAAAUGUCGCAGUGAUCCCGUCGCAGUUGCGACCUCAGAGAUUCUCCAGACGACGCCGACCUCGGCAGCAGAAGGCUAAAAUGCUCGGGAGCCUGUUUACCCAGUUACAAGUGACCUCCAGAGGUUCAGAGAGAGAGCGAGGCCAGAGCCAGCAGCAGACGCCCGCCCUGGCGGACUUCAUACGUCACAUCAGGAAUCUGACAGGCCUCAAAAACAGCGACAUCUACUCCAACCUGCGCGUCCCGGACCAGUUUGAGAACAGCGACGACGACAUCAACGUCGUCAUCCUCACUGGCCAGGGGAUCUUCUGCGUGGACGUGAAAGCCUGGAGCGGCACGGUGUCCGCUCACAACCGGAAGUGGCACGUCCAGGUGAGAGAAGAGGCCCGAAACGUCACCAAUACCUGCAUCGAACAGGUCGAAGAUCCCCUCAAAGCAAUAACGACCAAGGCGGCCGACCUGUGCGGCCAUUUGAGGAGGAGCGGCGUGUCGGUGCGCCGGAGCCUCUUCUUCCCCAGGGUCGUGUUCCUCUCCCCAGACUGCGAGCUGGACGAGGACCUGAGGAGAUCCAGGGAGCUGGUCUCCCACAGCCAGACCGACGACUUCCUCAGAUCUCUGCGGGAGGGCUACGUGGCCUGGAUAUCGGAUGCCCUGACGCCGUCCUGGCUCUCGGGUCAUCUGUCGUACAGGCAGAUGGACUCGGCGCGGGAGGUCCUGGGCCGGGUGGGAACCUGGGAUCUGCUGCGGCUGCACUGCGGCGGGCUGCUCAAGGGCGACUUCCAGGGCUGCCAGUACAUCGCGCUGGACCGGGCCGAGACGGACACGCUGGAGUUCUCCAGGGUCAAGGUCCUGUCUCCGGACCUGCUGCUGACGCUGCUGGGACACACUCCUCAGGUCACCGUUAAGAUGUACAAGCGUGGCUCUCAAGGCUGGCUGGGAAAAACCCUGAGCGCCACCACCACCAUCCCCUCCAACACCUGCGUGAUCUUCAGGAUCGCCGGGGACGAAGCCGACGCUAGGAUCCCGGCCAAAACCAUCCACAGCAUCACGCUCAGCAUAUGACGAAGCUGCUGACGAAGAAGAGGAGGGGAAAAUGAGAACUAACUCUGAAUCCUGUUUUUACUAAGUGCCUUUAACCGGCUUCGUUUGGAUCGGAUGCUGUGAAUUUUAUGCAAAAAGUAGGAAAAACCAAACACUUUACCCCUCAACAGCAACACUUUGUUUUAGAAUAAUUAGCCUGAUUAACUUUCUCCUCCUCCACGUUUAGAGCUGGCCUCGCUUUACACCAGCCAUCAGUUGAUCAUUACGUUGGCUGAUUGUGUCACGUCGGUUCAGGGCUGAAGUGUUUAAUGUGUUAAUUGUCGUGGUUGAAGCCAGGAGGCGGCCUCCGCUGUGGGGUUGAGAGGCUGUGAUGCGCCUUUAAAUGCUGCAGCCGUAAGGCGUUUUAUUAGCAGCCGCGUGCGUCCGAGUCGCUCUCCACCGGGUGCCGGGCUGCGCUAACGGCUAGCGCUUGUAGCGGGCCUGGUUGUGUGGGAAACGAAGCUGCUUUCAUCAGCUAAUGCAAUAGACGGAGCUGUGUGACGGUGCUAUCGCUUUGCAUGGAACGCUCCCCUGGAAAAGUCAAACGUUCGAGUAUUACACUGCAUUAGGUCCUUUUCCAAAGCACUUAGUCUAUAAUGUCGGAUUAUCUGGGAUGAAAAGCAGGCUGUUUUAUGGAAAUCUGUUAACUUCAAGGUGCAUGUAGGUUUUAUUGUUUGGGUGUGGAUAAAUGUGUUUUUUUUUUUUUUUUAAUCAAACCUGAAGCACUGAAGCGUGGCUGUUUUGUGUUUGUGUGCGUCUGUGUGGGUUUUUAGACAUUGUGUCAUGAAGUGCUCCUAUGUUCACCUGUGUUUUAAUAAAAAGGUGUAACGAUGCGACGCGUCCCGUGAU